GUCCCCCGCGCCGCCCGGCCCCCGCCCCCCAGCGGCGCCGCAUCGCGGCGGCCAUUUUGUGCGGCUGCGGUCGGUUCGCGGGGCUCAGCGCGCCGCGGGCCCGGGCGGGGUGGCUCCGUUCUAACCCUUUUUCUCGUACAGAUCCCCUCGUCUAAAAGUUGGUUUUAAUUGGUUGCCCACAGGAUUGGCUUGGCUUCUGCUACUUGUUAAGAAAAAAACAUCUGUCUUUGCAGAUGGCCGCGUGCCUGUCCCGGGUGGAGCUGUCCGUGGCCUGCCGGAGCCUCCUCGACGGGGACCUGAGCUCCAGGUGGAUCCCCUCUGCGUCCUGCUGCAGGACGCGGGCGAUGGCCGGUGGGCUGAGCUAGAUCACACGGAAAAGGUCAAGAACUGCCAAGACCCUGAAUUCUGCAAGAAACUGGUUGUGGACUGCUACUUUAAGAAAGUUGUGUCUAGCUCAGUGUUCACUCGACUGCUGGAAUUGAAGCAGGAAAAGUCAGCAGGAAAGGGCACUAUUAUGGUCAUCAAGAUCAGCUUAAAUCCACGCUGGAGGAAGUUCAAUUGUUCGCUUGCAAACUUUCUGUGGUGGCGAUUUUAAUAAAGCUAUCAAGAAUUUUACUUCUUCAUCCUCUCUCUGAAGAAAUUUCAUGCUGAAAGCUUGAUAUGGAAGAUUUAGCAAAAUGCAUGCAUGCUAAUGUUGUUCUUUGUGCAGUGUGGUAGUUCCUAAUAAUUAAUGAGAUUAUUAGCCUUAAAAUAGGUGUUCAGGUGUUGUCUUGGUUUAAAAGACAGGUGUCUGCCAAAGAAGGUGGGAACCUCCCUUGGAAUGGAGAUAUGACCUCCUUCCCUCUGAACUAUUAUAACUUUGAAAUGACAGGGCUUUCAGGCAAAGCUGGGGGAAAGGAAUAGCAGUUCCUUACUGGCGUGUGCGUGUAUACCAUGGCAAACAAACCCCAAGCCCAGCAGCAAAGACGAGCAGACGCAGAGCCCCAGGGCCGCCUUGUCCCGGCUGCAGGCACCUUCCCCUGCGGUGCAGUUCUGGGCACGGCCAGCAGGGGCGCUGCUGGCUCCUGGCCGGGCAGGGUGGGGCGAUGAUUCCCCCGGGCCUGCAGGGGGCGCUGUGGCGCGAGCUCGGCCGCCUCUCUGCACUCGGCAAUGGCGGGCAGGCUGGCGGAAGGGAUGGAGAAGGGGCUUCCUUGGAACCCUCAGGGACGGCUGGUCCUGCUGUGCCUCCGGCUGCUGAAAUGGACUGCAGCAGGAACCUCGGAAGCAGCUGGAACAGCAGAGUAGAGUAGAGUAGAGUAGACCCUGGGUGGCAAACAAAGUGUAGCAAAAAACCCGAAGCUGUGGCAGGAGCAAUGUGGGUCCUGCAGUGGCAGCCAGACUCCCACAAGCAGCAGGGAGGUGCUCCCUCCAGAGGGGUCCUGAGUUUCCCUUGAGGCACCCAAGCACUUGAUGAGGGUCUCUCAUCAAGAUUGGUUGUUGAAAAGGUCCCAGUUCAACAGCUGCUCUUACGAGCAAAGCCUCACCCAGGGUAAGGAGAAGCAUUGAAGGACAAAUCUCCACAGUGGUGAAACCUUGGGGCAGCAGCACUUCAGCACCAAAACCACAACCAAGAGCAAGGCUGUGAGAGAGGGCUGAGCCCAGGCCCUGGCCCAGAGCUGUCUUGGUAUCUCUGCACUUUGCAAGAGAAAAUCUCCUCCAGCUACCAAGCUCACUCCCCACCUAAGAGACUGCAGUCAACUACAACCCUUGCCCCCUCCUCCCCAUCUCGGCCACAUCUUUUGUCUCUCUUAGGCAACAAAUGGGAGAAAAAUUCCCUGAGAGAAAGAAAAAUCCAAACCUCCAACAGGUGUGCUGAGCUUGUUGAUAGGUGGCAGUGUUCUAAGUGGUGUUUGUGAGCUCUUAUUGGUGGGGUAUCAACAGUCUUAGGUCAGAAAGAAAUCAUCUUUGUUCAAAAGUGUGCAGCAGGCAUAUAGAGGAGGUGACUAAGAGGGGCAUAUUGUCAUUGGUUAGAACUGACAUGAUGUGGUUUACCCAUACUGUUUUGUGGGGCUAUAUUUGCUAUACCCCAAAAAUAUUUGUGUUGUUAUUUUGUUUUGUUUGUUUUUUAGAAGCUUCCUAUGCUUUGGAGUCCACUUCAGAAUUAUGUACUUCUUCAAAAGGAUAGCUUUUUUCUCUUAGUUCAUUUAAGCCAAAAUUCUUGAUGCAUGGGCAAAUAAUCUGUGCAAUUUCCCAAUGCAGUUGUGAAAAAGGAUUAAACUGUUCAUAUCCUUAACAUGCUGGGGAAGUUAGUCAGGGGAGUCUAGACUGACAGUCAAGAGUUUCAUUAACAACAGUGAAGUAUAUAAUAUUUGACUACUGUUUUAUUUUUCAUUUGGAAUUUGUUCCUCAAAACUUCUUGUUUGAAGCUUCCAAAAGUUUACCUAGUGGUGAAACCUUUGGGCAGCAUACACCAUUUUGGUGUAUCCCCUAAACAACAACUUUGCCAGCUGUGUAUGAGGAUUAAAUGCUGAAUAUGUGUGUGAACAUAAAUCUUUUGAUCAAAUAUUAUCUAGUAUUAUGGCAAUUCUUUCUUCAUUGUGAUUCAGAGUGAUGUUCUCCUUGUUCUUGUUAAGAACAGCUCAUAUUUGUGACACAGCCUCAUCAUUGUUGCAGUUUUGUGAAAAAUAAGUGAAAGCAGUGCCUCAGCCCCAUAGUUACUUAAAUAGAAAUAACAAAUGUAGCAAAUGGGAGUAGCAAAAUAGAAAUUUGUAUGUGUCGGUAUUUACAGGUUUAAUGGCAUAUACGCAAAGGCAAAAUAGUUUUCUGUGGAUUUUGAAAGUUCCUCCUGUAGAUAAAAGGGGCCUUUUCCUCGCUGACUGUAUUUCAUGGCUUGUAAUGAGUAUUGGAGAGUUCAUUUGCGAAGAAAUAAUAAAUAACUCAAUACAGUGUCCUUCAGUAUUGGACGUUUUGUUUGCAGCAACACCACUCUUUGGGCUGCCUGCAGUGAAUAUUGGCCAGUCUUAGAAAAAAAUCCGUGUAAAAAGAGUUUUGUUAUAAGCCAUACCACGUUGUGAACUAAUAACUGAACUGGUCCUUACCAUGGCUGUGAGGGGAGUGGGAGCAGGAAGGAGCAGAGAGGAGGUGUGUGGAGAUGGCAGUGCCUGGGUUCCCUAAAGCUCUUCAGGUGUACUGGCAUAAAGGAGACCCUUCACUGGGAGUCUGCACCCUGGCUUCUGCACAAGAGAAGGCCUCCCUGGCAUGAUCCAGUCACUUUUGGGUGAUGUACAAACAUAGGAAUUGUUGGGAGAAGCCAAGUAAAGUUCAGGCGGGAGGAGUGGGAAUUGCUUCUUGGUGGAGUGUUUAGAUGAGAAGAGCAGAAGUGGGGUGGGAAGGAUGGGGGAGGAGAAGGGGGAAUAGUCUCUGUGGUAUCUUUUGCCAUUGAGACACUGAAGGAUGCCAUGGUGCUUCCCAUUUAGGUGACUACAUUGAGCCAUAAUUUACCUGGCUGUUUGUAUGGGUUUUCCAUUGAUACCAGUGGAAGACCCCCAGUAGAUCUGAAUAGUCCUUUAAAGAACCCUGUGUUCAAAUUCAGAUAUCUAGCCAUUGAAUUUGACGUCCUUAUCAGGGUGUUAGCCAUGGGUUCAUCUUGUCCCAUUGUCCUUAGGAGAAAACUGUCACUGUGGUUUAUACUGGAGUAGCAUCAACUUCUUAAUUUCUGAAGGCAGAUCUCAGAAAGAAAAUUCCUGAAUCUGUGUGGCAUGUGAGCUUCAGAGGAGGAGGAGGCAGCUGCUUACAACUGUCCCUUAGUUGACUGCCUCUGGAAUUACUUGUGUUCUGCAGUUGAACAUGUUAGAAAUGCUCCUCACCAGUGAUUUUGUGGAGAGCUAUGACACCAUGUUGCUGUAAACCAGUUAUUCGCAUAUUUUUAUUUGUAUAUGCACUGCUGUUUUGCAUUUUCUAGUUCUGAAGCCUUCAUUCUGACAUAAAAAUUACUGUUUAUUAAUAAAGUAUUGCGGGAAGGGGUCUGUCCUGGGCAGGAGAGGGUAGUCCAACUCCCAGGGGAGCUGUCUCCUCGGUCUGCGUCCACAUGUACCACAAUCCUGGAUAGCUACGAGAAGGUCCAACCAGAGGAAGGAGGGCUCUGCACACACUGACAGGGAUCCAACCAGGUUUAUUGAAGGGUCGACAAAGGGUCCAAGACGGGGUGGGUCGGAGAGGAGCAAGGAGACAACCAGCUUGAAGAGAGACAGGCAGCAGAAGAGCCCAGAACAGCGCGGGGACAAGGUGGAAUAUGAAUGCAUUCGUCCUGAGAAGAAACAAAAGAAAAACAACUACAAAAACUCUUGCAUUAUUAGGAUAAAAUCCUGCAAGAUUGAAACAGAAUAUUCAUUUCUGGACUGUGUGAUGGGAGGCUGCUAGAUUAACUUCAUGGAAUCCAAGGAAUAGUGGAUGCCUACCACCAGAUUUUGCUGCAGAUCCGACUCUACAGGCCAACCAACUUCUCUCCUAUUAUAAACCACAUGGCAAGGUUUGCAGCACACUUGCUGCAACAAGGAACUGCUGCAGCUCCCCAGGAAGCACUUCCCCAGGUGGUUCUGGCUGAAGUGCCCAAGCAGCUAGUGUCAUACAAUGAAUGGCAGGAGUGGCCCCCCCUGAAACUGCCAGAAAUCAAGGUGAUGUAGAUUCAGGCUAGCCCUGGCUACCUGUAGCACUGGGGAGAAGGAGAGCUGCCUGCAGCCACACUUUCCCUUACACUCUAUGGAUGCUUAGUGCCUUGAGAUUGCACGAGUCACACCACUUCUUUCACCUGCUUGCGCUCAGUCUUUGAUCUUUCAAAGAUUUCUAUUGGAAGAAAUGUAAAUACAGAAAAACCUCCAAGCGCUGGAAGUUUUUGUCACAGAAAGAUUGACCUUGUUGGUUUUCUACCUUGCAACAGCGACAGUUUGUGAUACAUCACACCGCACAUAGUUGCUUGACACAGCCCAUCUGCUACUCGCUAUCAGGGUAGGCCUCUGAAAUGAGCUGCUCUAGUGCUGAGCCUGGUGGUAGAAGUGUUACACCUGUGUUUGUUAUAAUGACACUUACCAUGUGCUCCUCGAUAGGUGUCUUUUAUCAAGCUGCCUUUGAAAUAGACGUGACCAAAGACUGUUGGUUGGAUGCCUGAGGUCCUUCCUAAAGUGCCAAUCAGGUCUUCAUAAAGUGCUAAUAUUUUUUUUUUAUGUUUCAGCGAACAUACCUUUUUGUGUUCUUUUUAAUCACAUUUUUCUAUUAGCAAAAUUUCUUUCUGUGAUGAACUCCUGCUUGAAGCCAUUGUUAUAGUUCAAGAACACUGCACUUUGCUUAUUUAUGGGGGUUAAAUGAGAAUUAAUCAUUAAUUAAUGGGAUUGGAGUGAGAUUAAUGAGUCACAUUAAUGUGACUUUAAAAAUCCUGCAGUUGGAAAUACUGAAAUGAGGAUGCUUUGAGUGAAUUCUUUAUAUCACACAGGUUACGAAAUGAAGAAGUAACUUAUCUGUGGAACUCCAAGGAGGUGUCACCUCAGUAGUGUGAAGUGUGCAUUACAUCAUCUGGGAACUGUAGAACAGGCACAUGAUAGCGAAGCACAAAUGUUUUGAGGAAGAUAGUUCAUUUCCAAGUAGAGGUAAAGAAAUUUGGGCUUGUCAUUGUACUAGAAGUGUCAGCACUUUCAGUUACAUAAAUAAAUAUUCUACUUUGACUUUGA
This is an RNA transcript of Serinus canaria (Common canary), 5699 nucleotides long. It is a transcript of the gene named RNA binding motif protein 12, with no coding region annotated. The record is from RefSeq and is a predicted model, not a curated record. NCBI's taxonomy places the organism in Eukaryota, Metazoa, Chordata, Aves, Passeriformes, Fringillidae. The transcript is spliced from 11 exons.